UACGGGGGGGGCAAGCGUUGUUCGGAAUUACUGGGCGUAAAGGGCUCGUAGGUGGCCGACUAAGUCAGACGUGAAAUCCCUCAGCUUAACUGGGGAACUGCGUCUGAUACUGGUUGGCUUGAGGACAGGAGAGGAACGCGGAAUUCCAGGUGUAGCGGUGAAAUGCGUAGAUAUCUGGAGGAACACCGGUGGCGAAGGCGGCGUUCUGGACUGUUUCUGACACUGAGGAACGAAAGCCAGGGGAGCAAACAGG
Molecule: ribosomal RNA, 253 nt
Filed under: uncultured bacterium
Lineage: Bacteria
Description: partial 16S ribosomal RNA
Rfam family: Bacterial small subunit ribosomal RNA
Source: RNAcentral